CCUACGGGAGGCUGCAGUGAGGAAUAUUGGUCAAUGGGCGCAGGCCUGAACCAGCCAAGUCGCGUGAGGGAAGACUGCCCUAUGGGUUGUAAACCUCUUUUAUAAGGGAAGAAUAAUGACUACGUGUAGUCAGAUGCUCGUACCUUAUGAAUAAGCAUCGGCAAACUCCGAGCCAGCAGCCGCGGUAAUACGGGGGAUGCGAGCGUUAGCCGGAUUACUUGGGUUUAAAGGGUGCGUAGGCGGUAAUUUAAGUUAGUGGUAAAACGUCGGGGCUUAACCUUGAUUGGCCAUUAAAACGGGAGUACGAGAGUACAGACGAGGUGGGCGGAAUAAGUUAAGUAGCGGUGAAAUGCUUAGAUA
RNAcentral lists this ribosomal RNA (360 nucleotides) under uncultured bacterium. RNAcentral's name for it is "partial 16S ribosomal RNA". It matches the Rfam family "Bacterial small subunit ribosomal RNA", at positions 338 to 696 of the family's 1533-position model. The record is from RNAcentral.